This is a long non-coding RNA of Aethalodelphis obliquidens (Pacific white-sided dolphin), 1040 nucleotides long. RefSeq lists it as uncharacterized. NCBI's taxonomy places the organism in Eukaryota, Metazoa, Chordata, Mammalia, Artiodactyla, Delphinidae. The record is from RefSeq and is a predicted model, not a curated record. The transcript has 2 exons.
UGGUCAGCGGCGCCGCGUUUGCGCAGUUCCGGUCGCGCCGCUCCCGGCAGCGGAGAAGCGUGUUUGAGGUGGUUUGCUGGGACUCAGCGGCCGGGAUCCCUUUGGGACAGAGGACCUUAAAGACUGACAUUUCCCAGAGAAAGGCGACUCUUAGUCGCAAGGUCCCCUCGCUAAAAUAAAGGGACCCAUUCAAACUGAAGUCCGGAAGAGAAAGGAUGAGGGCUACGUGCUACCGCAAGGUCCAAGCCGCGCGGCUAGGCUUUUUGACUCGGGGAGUUCUUGCCCGGGUUUACUGAGCCCGCGGUGGCCCUUCUGAGCCAGCGUUAGGUGUGACCUAUACGGCGUGCGAGGACGGAACACGGGUUAAUGGAGAAGCGCGAGUGGGAACGACGGAGCCAGAAAGCACGUAGGGAGUAGGGGAAGCGCCAUUGGAUGCGCGAUUCCUGAUUCGCUGAGCCUCUGGUUCCCCUCUGAGCGACCUGGAAACCAUGGCAUCCCAGCGAUUCCUUCCAGAUGCUAAAUCCUAAGGUUUUUGAAGGGGCUGCUGAGUUGAGAGAACAUAAGCCUGUUGCUGCUGAAGACCACUCUAUAAAAAGAACCUGAUCUGAGAAUGAAGCCCAGCUCAGAGGGAAGCAGUCAAGAAGGGGAGAGAGACCAAGUUCUGAUGACAUCACUUGGCCCCUGGAUCCUGCUGGGCCAACCCCAGAACUUUUCAGUUUUUGAAAAACCAGUUUGCCGGGAUUUCUGUCACUUAUUACUGAAAGAAUUUUGGUAAAUAUACCUUCCAGGUGCAAAUACACUACUUCUAUCAUAUUUCCUUGAAUUAUGAGUCUAUAGAUUUCAUAGCUUGAAAUCUCAUGCUUAAGCCAGCAUGACUUGGUCUUUGACGUCAGUGCUUCCUCUUCUGAGGGGUCACAGAUGUUUUUCAUGAGUUACCUGGCCUGAAUGCUUCCCAGGCCCAAUGUCAAGUUCACUGGUCUGUGGUUUGUAGAACUCACUACCCCCCCCCUUUUUUUUUAAAAUAAAAUGGCCAUAUCAUC